AUCAAUCUUCGGGGCAGGGUGUAAUUCCCUACCGGCGGUGAUGAGGCAUAGUCUCUAAGCCCGCGAGCCUUUUUUGGCAGGAUUCGGUGUGAUUCCGAAGCCGACAGUAUAGUCUGGAUGGGAGAAGAUGGAG
RNAcentral lists this non-coding RNA (133 nucleotides) under Bacillus altitudinis. RNAcentral describes it as "FMN". It matches the Rfam family "FMN riboswitch aptamer (RFN element)". From Rfam's summary of the family: The RFN element is a highly conserved domain that is found frequently in the 5'-untranslated regions of prokaryotic mRNAs that encode for flavin mononucleotide (FMN) biosynthesis and transport proteins. This element is a metabolite-dependent riboswitch that directly binds FMN in the absence of proteins. Lineage: Bacteria; Bacillati; Bacillota; Bacilli; Caryophanales; Bacillaceae. The record is from RNAcentral. RNAcentral also lists the same sequence under 2 other names.